GACGAACGCUGGCGGCGUGCUUAACACAUGCAAGUCGAACGGAAAGGCCCUGCUUUUGUGGGGUGCUCGAGUGGCGAACGGGUGAGUAACACGUGAGUAACCUGCCCUUGACUUUUGGAUAACUUCAGGAAACUGGGGCUAAUACCGGAUAGGAGCUCCUGCUGCAUGGUGGGGGUUGGAAAGUUUCGGCGGUUGGGGAUGGACUCGCGGCUUAUCAGCUUGUUGGUGGGGUAGUGGCUUACCAAGGCUUUGACGGGUAGCCGGCCUGAGAGGGUGACCGGCCACGUUGGGACUGAGAUACGGCCCAGACUCCUACGGGAGGCAGCAGUGGGGAAUAUUGCACAAUGGGCGGAAGCCUGAUGCAGCAACGCCGCGUGCGGGAUGACGGCCUUCGGGUUGUAAACCGCUUUCGCCUGUGACGAAGCGUGAGUGACGGUAAUGGGUAAAGAAGCACCGGCUAACUACGUG
This 468-nucleotide ribosomal RNA is filed under the name uncultured bacterium. Its description in RNAcentral is "partial 16S ribosomal RNA". It matches the Rfam family "Bacterial small subunit ribosomal RNA", at positions 28 to 507 of the family's 1533-position model. The record is from RNAcentral.